AGACAGCUUGAAAUGGAUUUCCGAUCAAUUUUUGAAUUUCAUCCGUUAGUGUUUGCGAGGGGCGGUCGGAGCUUACUAAGUAUGGGCUUAGCAAAAAGAAGUGACUCGGCUCCCCCUAANGCGGUUGCUUCAAUUACGAACUUGCUGAGUGUCUCUAGGUCCUUCGCUUCUUGUCUGCUAAGUAGGCUUAAUGCCUCUAAGCAUCUCGCGCUGUAUCUAGCCGGGCCUUUUGCCUGGCGA
This 240-nucleotide unclassified non-coding RNA is filed under the name Hevea brasiliensis (rubber tree). Lineage: Eukaryota; Viridiplantae; Streptophyta; Magnoliopsida; Malpighiales; Euphorbiaceae. The record is from RNAcentral.